RNAcentral lists this ribosomal RNA (719 nucleotides) under Acinetobacter baumannii. Its description in RNAcentral is "bacterial SSU rRNA". It matches the Rfam family "Bacterial small subunit ribosomal RNA", at positions 56 to 769 of the family's 1533-position model. The record is from RNAcentral. Lineage: Bacteria; Pseudomonadati; Pseudomonadota; Gammaproteobacteria; Moraxellales; Moraxellaceae.
UGCAGUCGAGCGGGGGAAGGUAGCUUGCUACUGGACCUAGCGGCGGACGGGUGAGUAAUGCUUAGGAAUCUGCCUAUUAGUGGGGGACAACAUCUCGAAAGGGAUGCUAAUACCGCAUACGUCCUACGGGAGAAAGCAGGGGAUCUUCGGACCUUGCGCUAAUAGAUGAACCUAAGUCGGAUUAACUAGUUGGUGGGGUAAAGGCCUACCAAGGCGACGAUCUGUACCGGGUCUGAGAGGAUGAUCCGCCACACUGGGACUGAGACACGGCCCAGACUCCUACGGGAGGCAGCAGUGGGGAAUAUUGGACAAUGGGGGGAACCCUGAUCCAGCCAUGCCGCGUGUGUGAAGAAGGCCUUAUGGUUGUAAAGCACUUUAAGCGAGGAGGAGGCUACUCUAGUUAAUACCUAGGGAUAGUGGACGUUACUCGCAGAAUAAGCACCGGCUAACUCUGUGCCAGCAGCCGCGGUAAUACAGAGGGUGCGAGCGUUAAUCGGAUUUACUGGGCGUAAAGCGUGCGUAGGCGGCUUAUUAAGUCGGAUGUGAAAUCCCCGAGCUUAACUUGGGAAUUGCAUUCGAUACUGGUGAGCUAUAGUAUGGGAGAGGAUGGUAGAAUUCCAGGUGUAGCGGUGAAAUGCGUAGAGAUCUGGAGGAAUACCGAUGGCGAAGGCAGCCAUCUGGGCCUAAUACUGACGCUGAGGUACGAAAGCAUGGGGGAG